Molecule: small RNA, 123 nt
Filed under: Marmota monax (woodchuck)
Lineage: Eukaryota; Metazoa; Chordata; Mammalia; Rodentia; Sciuridae
Source: RNAcentral
GCAGGGCGUGGUUGGGCACGCCUGUAAUCCCAGGCUCAGGAGGCUGAGGCAGGAGGAUCACAAGUUCAAAGCCAGCCUCCGCAAUGGUGAAGCACUAAGCAACUCAGGGUGACCCUGUCUCUA